RNAcentral lists this ribosomal RNA (322 nucleotides) under uncultured eukaryote. RNAcentral describes it as "partial 18S ribosomal RNA". It matches the Rfam family "Eukaryotic small subunit ribosomal RNA", at positions 1470 to 1796 of the family's 1831-position model. The record is from RNAcentral.
CCCUUAGCUGUUCUGGGCCGCACGCGUGCUACACUGAGUGGAUCAGCGGGUCAGGUUGCGCGAAAGUGUUUCCUAAUCUUGAAAUCCGCUCGUGAUGGGGAUUGACGGUUGCAAUUUUCCGUCAUGAACGAGGAAUACCUUGUAAGCGCGGGUCAUCAUCCCGCGCUGAAUACGUCCCUGCCCUUUGUACACACCGCCCGUCGCUCCUACCGAUUGAGUGGUCCGGUGAGGCUUUGGGAUCUGAGCAAAGAGAGCGUUUCGCUCGUUUUGCCCGGAAAACUCAGUCGAACCUUAUCAUUUAGAGGAAGGAGAAGUCGUAACA